RNAcentral lists this ribosomal RNA (443 nucleotides) under uncultured bacterium. Its description in RNAcentral is "partial 16S ribosomal RNA". It matches the Rfam family "Bacterial small subunit ribosomal RNA", at positions 338 to 795 of the family's 1533-position model. The record is from RNAcentral.
CCUACGGGAGGCAGCAGUGGGGAAUAUUGGGCAAUGGGCGCAAGCCUGACCCAGCAACGCCGCGUGAAGGAAGAAGGCUUUCGGGUUGUAAACUUCUUUUCUCAGGGACGAAGCAAGUGACGGUACCUGAGGAAUAAGCCACGGCUAACUACGUGCCAGCAGCCGCUGUAAUCCGUAGGUGGCAAGCGUUAUCCGGAUUUACUGGGUGUAAAGGUCGUGUAGGCGGGGACGCAAGUCAGAUGUGAAAACCACGGGGUCAACCUGUGGCCUGCAUUUGAAACUGUGUUUCUUGAGUACUGGAGAGGCAGACGGAAUUCCUAGUGUAGCGGUGAAAUGCGUAGAUAUUAGGAGGAACACCAGUGGCGAAGGCGGUAUGCUGGAAAGCAACUGACGCUGAGGCGCGAAAGCGUGGGGAGCAAACAGGAUUAGAUACCCUAGUAGUC